GUCUCCCGAAUCCCAGUCUCCUUCUGCCGCCUGAGGCACCUGCAGGUCAUUCUGCUGGACAGCAACCCUCUGCAGAGUCCACCUGCCCAGGUCUGCCUGAAGGGGAAACUUCACAUCUUCAAGUACUUGUCCACAGAGGCCGGGCAGCGUGGGUCGGCCCUGGGGGACCUGGCCCCUUCUCGGCCCCCGAGUUUCAGUCCCUGGUAAGUCCUAGGUGGGGAGGAAGGAAGCCCUGGGAUACUGAAUGCCCCUUCCCGGCCCCAGGUACCCCCUGCUUUCUGGCAGGAGGAUGGGGGGCUGUUGUCCAGCAUCAGGCUGACCAGAUCCGCUUGGCUGGCCCCAGCCCUGCAGAGGAUCUAUUUCCGGGACAUCGGUACGAUGGCGGGCUGGACUCAGGCUUCCACAGUGUUGAUAGUGGCAGCAAGAGGUGGUCUGGAAAUGAGGUAAGGGCGUCCUGUCCAUGGGAGAUUGAGGGUGUCAGCCCUGGGAGAGCACCUCUGAGCUGGGGACCUCCAAAUUGCAGGGUGCCAGGCAGAGGCUGGAGCUGUCCUCUUCCUUCCCUCUGCCCAGCAUCCCAGGGAAGGGCUGGCUCAGCAGAGACCCUGAGCUUAGUCCCACGCAGGACCCCCCAGGUCCCGAGCCCCCACGUGCAGAGAGGCCAUCUCCUAUCUCUGCCUCUGCCUUUACAGUCAACAGAUGAAUUUUCGGAGCUCUCAUUCCGGAUCUCAGAGCUGGCCCGGGAGCCCCGGGGGCCCA
RNAcentral lists this small RNA (756 nucleotides) under Pongo abelii (Sumatran orangutan). RNAcentral's name for it is "retained intron". The record is from RNAcentral. Lineage: Eukaryota; Metazoa; Chordata; Mammalia; Primates; Hominidae.